RNAcentral lists this ribosomal RNA (117 nucleotides) under Neolamprologus brichardi. The record is from RNAcentral. Lineage: Eukaryota; Metazoa; Chordata; Actinopteri; Cichliformes; Cichlidae.
GCUUACAGCCAUACCACAUAGAGCACGCCCAACCUCGUCUGAUCUCAGAAGCUAAGCAGUGCUGGGCUUGGUUAGUACUUGGUUAGUACUGCCUGGGAAUACCAGGUGCUGUAAGCU